GUAUUUGUGUACGAGGAAUGCUACCUUUCUGCUAUUGCUUGCUUUUGCGCACGAAUGAUUACCAUCGGACUUCAUUGGAUGGAACACGUGAAUCGUGGCCCUAAGGAAAGCCGUCUUAUGUAGACAUGCACACUCUAAGGUAUGAAAUUGUGCAUUACAUUAUGUAUAUAUUUAUUCUCGUAGUCUAUAAUUAAUGUGUUCGGAAUUUCCCUGACUAGUCACAGUACAUUAAGCGGGUCCUCUUUUGUAGGUGUCGGAUUUAUCAUGGUGGAUCAAGUAGUUUAUUCGUUUUGGUUCUAUCAUCACAUAAGUUGGUACGAGUACUAGACAUACGAAUAUUAUGAGUACUUUAUGUCAUACUGUGAUUUUGUUUUAUAUUUUUAUAUAAGUUGAUUUUGUUUUCUUGCACUUGUUUUGUUUUCCGAGGAUCAACACGAUUGAAUCCCUGACUUGAUUAGAUGGACCCACCCUAAUAGGAUAUUUCGACCCAAGUAAAACUCUAAACUAUAAAUCUCAACAUCCAAAUACUAAGGU
This 534-nucleotide long non-coding RNA is filed under the name Actinidia chinensis (golden kiwifruit). Its description in RNAcentral is "long non-coding RNA (ACHI_LNC001330)". The record is from RNAcentral. Lineage: Eukaryota; Viridiplantae; Streptophyta; Magnoliopsida; Ericales; Actinidiaceae.